UACAGAGGUCCCAAGCGUUGUUCGGAUUCACUGGGCGUAAAGGGUGCGUAGGCGGUCGGGUAAGUCUGACGUGAAAUCUUCAAGCUCAACUUGGAAACUGCGUCCGAUACUAUUCGGCUAGAGGAAUGGAGGGGAGACUGGAAUACUUGGUGUAGCAGUGAAAUGCGUAGAUAUCAAGUGGAACACCGGUGGCGAAGGCGGCGAUCUGGACGAUGACUGACGCUGAGACGCGAAAGCGUGGGGAGCAAACAGG
Molecule: ribosomal RNA, 253 nt
Filed under: uncultured bacterium
Lineage: Bacteria
Description: partial 16S ribosomal RNA
Rfam family: Bacterial small subunit ribosomal RNA
Source: RNAcentral